RNAcentral lists this ribosomal RNA (224 nucleotides) under Shigella sonnei. RNAcentral's name for it is "partial 16S ribosomal RNA". It matches the Rfam family "Bacterial small subunit ribosomal RNA", at positions 1 to 219 of the family's 1533-position model. Lineage: Bacteria; Pseudomonadati; Pseudomonadota; Gammaproteobacteria; Enterobacterales; Enterobacteriaceae. The record is from RNAcentral.
UUAAAUUGAAGAGUUUGAUCAUGGCUCAGAUUGAACGCUGGCGGCAGGCCUAACACAUGCAAGUCGAACGGUAACAGGAAACAGCUUGCUGUUUCGCUGACGAGUGGCGGACGGGUGAGUAAUGUCUGGGAAACUGCCUGAUGGAGGGGGAUAACUACUGGAAACGGUAGCUAAUACCGCAUAAUGUCGCAAGACCAAAGAGGGGGACCUUCGGGCCUCUUGCC